CUUGGUCAUUUAGAGGAAGUAAAAGUCGUAACAAGGUUUCCGUAGGUGAACCUGCGGAAGGAUCAUUACACAUUCGGGGCGCUUCGGCGCUCCUUAAAUAACACCCACCCUCUGCCUACGUGUACCUCUAUAGCUUCCUCGGCGGGCUCGCCCGCCGCCAAGGAACCCACGAAACCCCUUGCAUUAUACGCGAAAACUUCUGAUAACAAACCUAAAUUAUCACAACUUUCAACAAUGGAUCUCUUGGUUCUGGCAUCGAUGAAGAACGUAGCGAAAUGCGAUAAGUAGUGUGAAUUGCAGAAUUCAGUGAAUCAUCGAAUCUUUGAACGCACAUUGCGGCCAUAGGUGUUCCUUUGGCCAUGCCUGUUCGAGCGUCAUUUACACCCUCAAGCCUAGCUUGGUGUUGGGCGUCUGUCCCGCCGUUUUCGCGCGCGGACUCGCCUCAAAGUCAUUGGCGGCGGUCGUGCCGGCCCCCUCGCGCAGCACAUUUGCGCUUCUCGGAGGCCCGGCGGAUCCGCGCUCCAGCAAGACCUUUCACGACUUGGCCUCGGAUCAGGUAGGGAUACCCGCUGAACUUAAGCAUAUCAAUAAGCGGAGGA
RNAcentral lists this ribosomal RNA (599 nucleotides) under uncultured Ascomycota. RNAcentral's name for it is "eukaryotic LSU rRNA". The stretch from base 224 to 377 matches the Rfam family "5.8S ribosomal RNA". Lineage: Eukaryota; Fungi; Ascomycota. The record is from RNAcentral.